CCUUUCUGUUAGGGGGGGACUGCGGAAGGAUCAUUACUGUGAUUUAGUACUACACUGCGUGAGCGGAACGAAAACAACAACACCUAAAAUGUGGAAUAUAGCAUAUAGUCGACAAGAGAAAUCUACGAAAAACAAACAAAACUUUCAACAACGGAUCUCUUGGUUCUCGCAUCGAUGAAGAGCGCAGCGAAAUGCGAUACCUAGUGUGAAUUGCAGCCAUCGUGAAUCAUCGAGUUCUUGAACGCACAUUGCGCCCCUCGGCAUUCCGGGGGGCAUGCCUGUUUGAGCGUCGUUUCCAUCUUGCGCGUGCGCAGAGUUGGGGGAGCGGAGCGGACGACGUGUAAAGAGCGUCGGAGCUGCGACUCGCCUGAAAGGGAGCGAAGCUGGCCGAGCGAACUAGACUUUUUUUCAGGGACGCUUGGCGGCCGAGAGCGAGUGUUGCGAGACAACAAAAAGCUCGACCUCAAAUCAGGUAGGAAUACCCGCUGAACUUAAGCAUAUCAAAAGCCGGGAGGAAA
Molecule: ribosomal RNA, 518 nt
Filed under: Pichia kudriavzevii
Lineage: Eukaryota; Fungi; Ascomycota; Pichiomycetes; Pichiales; Pichiaceae
Description: eukaryotic LSU rRNA
Rfam family: 5.8S ribosomal RNA (bases 140-292)
Source: RNAcentral